UUUCCGUAGGUGAACCUGCGGAAGGAUCAUUGCACACACAAAGUUGCAGCAAACCCUCCAGCGAACGUCGUGAUUGUCCCCUUGGCUGGUUUCGUUGGCGGAGCGGGCGUCGCUCGCUGCGUCGCGGAGCCGGCCAACCCCCCAGGGAGUGUCCUGCUCCCUGGGGCAAAACCCAACCGAUUGCGCAAUGCAUCGACACCUUCGAUAAUGACUGAGUAUGAGAAGCGAGUGGUGGGGGCGCUCCGGGCGACCGGAGCGCUCAUCACGACGAGUUGUGAUUUGAAACAAAAACAACUCUCAGCAACGGAUAUCUUGGCUCUU
Molecule: unclassified non-coding RNA, 321 nt
Filed under: plant metagenome
Description: partial contains small subunit ribosomal RNA, internal transcribed spacer 1, and 5.8S ribosomal RNA
Source: RNAcentral